Molecule: ribosomal RNA, 208 nt
Filed under: uncultured delta proteobacterium
Lineage: Bacteria; Deltaproteobacteria
Description: partial 16S ribosomal RNA
Rfam family: Bacterial small subunit ribosomal RNA
Source: RNAcentral
CGCGUAGGCGGUUUGAUAAGUCAGAUGUGAAAGCCCACGGCUCAACCGUGGAAGUGCAUUUGAUACUGUUAGACUUGAGUACCAGAGGGGAAAGUGGAAUUCCCGGUGUAGAGGUGAAAUUCGUAGAUAUCGGGAGGAAUACCGGUGGCGAAGGCGACUUUCUGGCUGGAUACUGACGCUGAGGCGCGAAAGCGUGGGGAGCAAACAG